This 753-nucleotide ribosomal RNA is filed under the name uncultured Burkholderiales bacterium. RNAcentral's name for it is "bacterial SSU rRNA". It matches the Rfam family "Bacterial small subunit ribosomal RNA", at positions 28 to 776 of the family's 1533-position model. The record is from RNAcentral. Lineage: Bacteria; Pseudomonadati; Pseudomonadota; Betaproteobacteria; Burkholderiales.
AUUGAACGCUGGCGGCAUGCCUUACACAUGCAAGUCGAACGGCAGCACGGGGGCAACCCUGGUGGCGAGUGGCGAACGGGUGAGUAAUAUAUCGGAACGUGCCCUGGAGUGGGGGAUAACUAGUCGAAAGACUAGCUAAUACCGCAUACGAUCUACGGAUGAAAGUGGGGGAUCGCAAGACCUCAUGCUCGUGGAGCGGCCGAUAUCUGAUUAGCUAGUUGGUGGGGUAAAAGCCUACCAAGGCAUCGAUCAGUAGCUGGUCUGAGAGGACGACCAGCCACACUGGGACUGAGACACGGCCCAGACUCCUACGGGAGGCAGCAGUGGGGAAUUUUGGACAAUGGGGGCAACCCUGAUCCAGCAAUGCCGCGUGAGUGAAGAAGGCCUUCGGGUUGUAAAGCUCUUUUGUCAGGGAAGAAACGGUCUGGGCUAAUACCCUGGGCUAAUGACGGUACCUGAAGAAUAAGCACCGGCUAACUACGUGCCAGCAGCCGCGGUAAUACGUAGGGUGCAAGCGUUAAUCGGAAUUACUGGGCGUAAAGCGUGCGCAGGCGGUUGUGCAAGACAGAUGUGAAAUCCCCGGGCUUAACCUGGGAAUUGCAUUUGUGACUGCACGGCUAGAGUGUGUCAGAGGGGGGUAGAAUUCCACGUGUAGCAGUGAAAUGCGUAGAGAUGUGGAGGAAUACCGAUGGCGAAGGCAGCCCCCUGGGAUAACGCUGACGCUCAUGCACGAAAGCGUGGGGAGCAAACAGG